This is a long non-coding RNA of Saccostrea echinata, 1204 nucleotides long. RefSeq lists it as uncharacterized. The transcript has 3 exons. The record is from RefSeq and is a predicted model, not a curated record. NCBI's taxonomy places the organism in Eukaryota, Metazoa, Mollusca, Bivalvia, Ostreida, Ostreidae.
UGUAAAGGAUAGUUGUUAAACAUUAUUUCAAUCUCUGGUACCGUAUGUAUGAGUUAAGUUGUCCGUCAAAAAGGCUAUAUAUUAUGUAUCUCCCGCUCGUUUUGAUCAUUAUAUUUGAACUUUAUGGUCUACUUCACAGGUCAACUUGAAUAUAAAAAUGGCUGCUCUCAGCGGAAAUGAUGACCGGAAAUAACGAUGUUUCGUAAUCGGUAAAUUCCGUAAGGAAUAAAAAAAUGAUUCUGAUGAUUAAAUUGAACAUCGUUUUUUUCUAACAUAAUUUUAGGUUUGUUCAAUUGAUUCAAGAUAUUUAAAACCAUGUAAAUAUGUUUUCUCUAACUGUUCCGAUCUCAACAUCGGUAAUUUUCGUAUAUAUGACACAAUAUGAUUGGUCAGAUUUUAAAACUCUUCCGUACUGUUCUCUGAUUGGUCAACAAUAUUUCACCCACGCCAUUUUGAAAAUUCUUCCCGGGACGUGUUGAGAAAGCUGGAGGUGAUUUUGAAUAAACUCUCAUUUGCUCGCGAGUAAAAUGGAUCGAAAAACAGAAGUUCAGCAUAAUCAUGGUACACAGGAUCAUAUAUAUGAACCAAGGAAAGCAAAUACAUAAGGAGACUGACGUUUUUUAGGCAUCAUAUCCGGACUUUUCUGGUGUAAACAACGACAGUUGCGUCAGCAGAACAUUGAAGAAAAGCUGAUUAGUCAUGGAGGAAGAAGAUCCCUCUCAAGAAAGUAUUGCAGUGAUGAAGUCAGAUGAGAUGACAGGUUGUGUGAUUUGAAGAUGGACUUCUGCAACAAAGUAAACACUCCUCUACCUUUUCCAUACAAAAGAAACAGCAAAGCAGAGAGAUCAAAACAGUUGGUAAAAGUACAAAGAAAACAGGAUUAGUUAAACUUGUGAAAAAUAUCAAGACUAUUGAAGAGCAGAUUAUAUGUAAAAAGAAAGAUCAAGACUAGAAUUGGUAGCUGAAUCAGUAGCCUGGCCACAUUAAUUACUUUUUAAUUAGCUAUUUGUACAUUUAAGGUAAUCUGACUGAGUUACUAAAAUUGUUAUUUAACAAAUAUUUCAAAUAAAUAAAAGAUUUUUGAAUAACAAUCAAUAGAUGCUAUUAAGAACCUCAAUCUCCAACCCCUUUUCUUCAAAUAACAAUUUUUGCCCAUGAUCAUUUUUGUAGUUUUUAAAACUCUGUUUUGUAUUAUUUUAAGCAU